Molecule: RNA transcript, 2205 nt
Organism: Dermochelys coriacea (leatherback sea turtle)
Lineage: Eukaryota; Metazoa; Chordata; Testudines; Dermochelyidae
Gene: NGF
Gene name: nerve growth factor
Exons: 3
Source: RefSeq, a predicted model, not a curated record
GGCUGGAGAAGCAGAGUGUGUGUGUGAAUGGCUCAUCUGAUUUGGGAAAGUGUCCACAAACUAGGAUACUACAGUCUACCGAACAGCUUGGGCACCCCUUAGGAUUCCAUCUCCCAGUGGUGUUCAGGGUACAGCUCAGAGCAGAACCCAGACGAGGUUGUACAGAGAUUCUUAGCUGUGCAGUCAGACUGGCCUGAUGGCAUGCUGCAUCCAACUUCAGCUCAGAGUCUGGAGGCAAUAAAGACCUUGCCUGGGAGCAGCUUUCCAUUCAAUACACCCAGAGGUCAAUGGAGAAGCUGCUUCUUGACACUGAUCAACAGAAGACAGAGGCUUGCAUGACGCAGUUUGUGUAUCUGUAUGUAACAUCCGUACUGACCUGUCACUAGUGGGCCAGAAGGAAGGCGUGUAUCAAACGUGGGCGCUCUUAGUAAAACAAGACAAAACGCUAUAAUGUACUGUCUGAAAAAAAGGCAUCUCUUGAGGAAAAAGUCAACUUAAUCUAAUACAAACUUUAGCUGGAAUAAUCUACACUCUUCAACAGCUGCAGACGUGCACACAAGAGACAAUUGCCUUGUUAUGGGUGUUUUCUCACAUGUGUUAUCCUAAUUAGAGAUCCAAAUGCAAACUGCAGAAUAGUAUGUGGAUUUCUGACAUGUCCUGGAGGGCUUUGAGCCCAUAAACAAUUGAUGGAGACAGGCAUCACUAUAGUAUUUCUUCAGUGAAAGAUAUAAUCGUGCUCCAGUAUUGUUCAUGUUAUUAUGUAAAGGGAACUGUACCUACUUCUUUCAAACCAGCUCUCUGACCUUGCAGAGGAAAAGAAGCCUGUUUAAGCAUAAACAAACUGACAGUUAGUUAAUCUUCUCUCCUCCCACUCAAUUCAGUGCUCAGGAACUAACAUCAAUAUUGACCUUGGCACUGGACAUAAGGAGUGAGCGUGGGGUUCUCAUUACCUUCGUUCUCAUUUUGUAACAGAGCCCAUUGACACAUGAGUCCUUAUGGGCCAGAUGGGCCAGUGCUCCAAGCAACAGUAAAUGAGAGCUAGCACCAAGUGACCAGAAGUUAGAGAAAAGGAGCCACAGAUGAGUCAAGUUUGGAUUUGACAUGAUGGAUUGUGAAUCUAGUCAUGAAUACUAAUUGCCAAAGGUGGCGUUUUGCACCGCUGCAGCUGGUUAGGAUUCUGACUCCUGGGACCUGUGAACAGUGGGGUGCCUAGCUGCUCCCUGGCUUCUGCACCACUGUGCCUCCUGCAUUCCGACAUGUAAAAAGUGCGCUGGAAGAGACUGAACUUUAUGUCCUGUCCUCAGUCACAUGACCUGGAGCAGGGUCACAAAGGUCAAUAUCCCUGGAGGGCUGUAACCACUUAUUAGACAAUCCAUAUAUGAUAGGUGCAGUAUACACCACAUCAAUGGGUAGUAUGUGCAUGGUUUCAAUAUACCUUAUAUAUGUAUGUGCGUUGGGAAGUUAACUGAAUAUAUUAUGCUCCUCGCACAAUUCUAUUUACCUAUGUUAUGUAUUCCACAACACUUUGCAAAGCUGAGGUCAGCUUUGACAACAGAAAAUAGGAAGCCUGUCAAAGCCAAGAUACAUGAAUGGUGUGCCCUAGCACAGGCUGUAGCUAUACAGCCAACUGUUUGGAAUGUGGCAUACAAAACUGAGCUAAGGAAAGGUACAGACCAGCAUGUUAAGGAAUUAGUGGCUUGGAUCUUAGAUGAGCUAUAAAGUGCUCUUUAACUUGUAAAAAGCCAUGACAUAAAUAUAAGUUGUUUUGGGGGAAGAGUCUUCGAAGCAUACCUUCUGUGUAAGGUGAACAUCCUGCAAGACAAGAAUUGCUUCCCAGACAGAGGGUAUGUAUGUCUCCUUUUUGUUUUGUCUUUAGAUGGUAAAUUUGGCUAAGUUUGGUUAGUUGGUCUCUUGAACAUUCUUAAUAAUGAACGCAAGCAUAUUCAAUCUGUUGGCUAUACUAUUAAUCAACACACUGACUCCAGCAGUUAGCUGCAUAAGAUACUUACAGCUUUACCUGUUUUGUGCCAGUGCUCUAGCCCUCUUGCAGAAGCUGAGGACAGGGAUUUUACCUCAGGCCUUUAGGGACCCAGCUGCAACAUUUCAGUUGUGAUCCAGGGCAACCAAAAGAGCAAAUUUAUCACUGACCGGUACACUGCUUUGUAAAUAAUUUCUCAGGUUCUCUCUCCAUCUAUUCCUAACAGA